RNAcentral lists this ribosomal RNA (254 nucleotides) under uncultured bacterium. RNAcentral's name for it is "partial 16S ribosomal RNA". It matches the Rfam family "Bacterial small subunit ribosomal RNA", at positions 524 to 776 of the family's 1533-position model. The record is from RNAcentral.
UACGUAGGGGGCAAGCGUUGUCCGGAUUUAUUGGGCGUAAAGAGCUCGUAGGCGGUUUGGUAAGUCUGGUGUGAAAUCUCCACGCUCAACGUGGAGGGGCCACCCGAUACUGCCAUGACUGGAGUCCGGUAGAGGAGUGUGGAAUUCCCGGUGUAGCGGUGAAAUGCGCAGAUAUCAGGAGGAACACCGGUGGCGAAGGCGGGUCUCUGGGCCGAUAUUGACGCUGAGGAGCGAAAGCGUGGGGAGCAAACAGG